Molecule: long non-coding RNA, 1053 nt
Filed under: Mus spicilegus (steppe mouse)
Lineage: Eukaryota; Metazoa; Chordata; Mammalia; Rodentia; Muridae
Description: lncRNA (ENSMSIG00000004578.1)
Source: RNAcentral
AAUUACUCCUUUCAGAAUGAUAAUUAACUGACAUUUAAUGUAGUGAUUUUUGUUUCUCAUUUCAUUUUUUUUUAAAUAACACAGCCCUGAUAUUUUUUUCCUUUCACAGAAGUGGUAUAAAUAACACUUUUCUCAUUAAUCUCUGCCCCGGAUUUUAAAUGAUGGCACUUAACGAGGCUUGGAGACUGUGCUCAGUGUUUUUGUUUAAAGGUUGUCAAGUAUGGUUUCUUUUUCUUUCUUUCUUUCUUUAUUUUUUUUAACAAAUGCUCAGGUCAGCAGGCUACACCAUCUUCUUGGCAGUUUUCCUUUUAGCCUUGAGUUUUUCCUCUAGGUUUUAAUUUUUGUCAGUAUAUUUACUAAUUCUUUGAAAAUAUUAUACAGUGCAUUUUGGUCAUCUUCCCAAUCUCCUCCUCUUAACUCCUUUUUUUCCUUUUAUGACCUCAGGAUAAAGCAACACAAAAUGGUGAUCUUCAUUUAAUAACUAUACCUAAAACUUGGGAGUAGCAAAUAUUAAAGCAAGAAUCUGCCUUCAAAGCAACUUCCUAUGAUUUUUGUCUUAUUUAAAAGUUAAAGUGACUUGAAAGACUGUAUGCUUCGUUAUUUACCCAUGGAUGUUGCCAAAUGAGAUCUAAGGAAGUCAGGCUGGAUGGAAGACAUGAGGCUUUACAUUCCUGGAGAUUUGGAUUUUGUUAUUUGGAGCAUCUUCAUCCACUAGACAGAAAGGUAUGCUCAGUUGCUUUGGCAUUCAGAGUCACUGGAAGAAUUUUACAACUUCAUGCAAAGAGUCUAGUUAUUAAUAGCCACUCAGGCAAUCAUAAUUAUUGAUUCCAAAAAAAACCCCCAAUCUUCAUUAAAAGCAUAUUAACUAUUCUGGUGAAGUGUUAAUAUGACCCACAUCAUUUCAUACUCUACAAAGGCUGGAGACAUUUUGCAUUCAUUAUGCUGAUUAUGAAAAACUCAAAAAUAUUCUGUAGUAAGUAUGAGAAGAAAACCAUUUUUUAAAAAAAUCUACCAAAAAAUAAAAUAAAAUAAAAAAGUAAAAUAAAAAGGCCC